Oryza sativa Japonica Group (Japanese rice) is the source of this 201-nucleotide microRNA precursor. It matches the Rfam family "MIR812 microRNA precursor family". The record is from Rfam. Lineage: Eukaryota; Viridiplantae; Streptophyta; Magnoliopsida; Poales; Poaceae.
AAGAAGAUAAAUCCUGGUUUCCGUGCCCAACGUUUGAAUGUUCGUCUUAUUUGAAAAAAAUAUGAAUUUUUUUUAAAAAGUCACGCAUAAAAUAUUAAUCAUGUUUUAUCAUCUAACAACAAUGAAAAUACGAAUUAUAAAAAAAAUUACUAUAAGAUCAACGGUUAAAGUUGGACAAGGAAAACCAGUCUUUGACUUUUU